CCUCCGAUAGCUCAGUUGGCAGAGCGGUGGACUGUAGCGAUUCAUCAGAAAUCCAUAGGUCGCUGGUUCAAAUCCGGCUCGGAGGA
Molecule: transfer RNA, 86 nt
Organism: Trichinella zimbabwensis
Lineage: Eukaryota; Metazoa; Nematoda; Enoplea; Trichinellida; Trichinellidae
Rfam family: tRNA
About the family: Transfer RNA (tRNA) molecules are approximately 80 nucleotides in length.
Source: Rfam